This 117-nucleotide microRNA precursor is filed under the name Picea abies (Norway spruce). RNAcentral's name for it is "miR11451 stem-loop (pab-MIR11451)". The record is from miRBase by way of RNAcentral. Lineage: Eukaryota; Viridiplantae; Streptophyta; Pinopsida; Pinales; Pinaceae.
UUAGUAUUUCUUCUCUCUGUAUUAAUCCACAUAAUAAUUGGCAAAGCAUAGUGAGACGGGGGCUAUUUUCUGAGGGCCAAUUACUAUGUGGAUUGCUACGGAGGGACGAAGUAUUGG